This 242-nucleotide long non-coding RNA is filed under the name Populus trichocarpa (black cottonwood). Its description in RNAcentral is "long non-coding RNA (PTRI_LNC001531)". The record is from RNAcentral. Lineage: Eukaryota; Viridiplantae; Streptophyta; Magnoliopsida; Malpighiales; Salicaceae.
CAGUCGGUAAAUAAACAGAAGCAAACAUAGAGAGGUCUUGAAACCGCCUCUCAUAUUCCAAUACUGUCAUAUCUCCCUGUGUAAAAGCCAAGAACUCCUGUUCUUUGAUCUUUCAAUGCUGUCGGGAAUAAUACUGGUUCUCAAACUCUGUCCUGAAAUCCCUCCAUCUAAGCGUCUCAGCAGCCCGUCUCUCUUUAACAAUAUCCCACCAUGUCUGGGCUCUGUCCGAUAAUAGCUGAGUA